CUCUCUCUCUCUCAACACAACCGAACUAACAUCCCUCACUCUCUCUCUUACCACAAAAUGGCUCCCAUCAAGGUCGGCAUCAACGGCUUCGGCCGCAUUGGCCGCAUGGUGUUCCAGGCCAUCUGUGACCAGGGCCUUAUCGGCACCGAGAUCGACGUCGUCGCCGUGGUGGACAUGAGCACGAAUGCUGAAUACUUCGCGUACCAGAUGAAGCACGACACGGUGCACGGCCGCCCGAAGUACACGGUGGAGGCUGUGAAGAGCAGUCCGUCCGUGAAGACGGCGGAUGUGCUUGUGGUGAACGGCCACCACAUCAAGUGCGUGAAGGCGCAGCGCAACCCCGCGGAUUUGCCGUGGGGCAAGCUCGGCGUGGACUACGUGAUUGAGUCUACUGGCCUGUUCACGGACAAGUUGCAGGCCGAGGGCCACAUCAAGGGUGGCGCGAAGAAGGUCGUGAUCAGCGCUCCGGCGUCUGGCGGCGCCAAGACAAUCGUGAUGGGCGUGAACCAGCACGAGUACUCGCCGACGACGCACCACGUGGUGUCGAACGCGUCGUGCACGACCAACUGCCUGGCCCCCAUCGUGCAUGUGCUGACAAAGGAGAACUUCGGCAUCGAGACUGGUCUGAUGACCACCAUCCACUCCUACACGGCGACGCAGAAGACGGUGGACGGCGUGUCGCUGAAGGACUGGCGCGGCGGCCGCGCGGCGGCCAUGAACAUCAUCCCGAGUACGACCGGCGCCGCCAAGGCUGUGGGCAUGGUGAUCCCGUCGACCAAGGGCAAGCUGACCGGCAUGUCCUUCCGCGUACCGACGCCGGACGUGUCCGUCGUGGACCUGACGUUCCGCGCGACGCGCGACACGUCGAUCCAGGAGAUAGACAAGGCCAUCAAGAAGGCGGCGCAGACGUACAUGAAGGGCAUUCUCGGCUUCACCGACGACGAACUCGUCAGCUCUGACUUCAUCAACGACAACCGCAGCUCGGUCUACGACUCCAAGGCGACACUGCAGAACAACCUACCCGGCGAGAGGCGGUUCUUCAAGAUCGUGUCGUGGUAUGACAACGAGUGGGGCUACUCGCACCGCGUGGUGGACCUGGUGCGCUACAUGGCUGCCAAGGACGCUGCCAGCGCGAAGAUGUAGGGGGUUUUGUUCAGGUACGGGAGCAACGCAGUUGGCAGGCGCUCACUGAGUGUGUGCUGAGUUGUGUUUGCUGCCGGCGUAUGUGCUCCCUCUCUUUUUCUAACGAGUGCUUUUUGAUUGUGCUGCGAUCGAUGCUUGCGAGGAUCGUUGUGCCGUCUCGAAGUGGGGCGCGAAAAGCCGCGCAGCACCUCUUCGCAUUUUGUUUUCUUGUGUAGUAAGCGGGCUGCGCCUGUGUUUGCUUUCUUGUUUGGGGCGAAGGACUUUCCUUUUCUUCACUUCUCCAAGCGCCGUGGCUCUUGGCCGCGCAUCUCUGUGCGUGUGUGCUGGUUCUUUUUUUUUGGUGGUGGUGGCGCUCCGUCCAGGAUGCCUGCAGAUCCGUCUCAUACGCUUGGAUCUUGUCUCCCCCUCCCUCCCCCACCCCAAGAGCAGACUGAAAGUGCGGAAUGCCGCACGGGGAGGGGAGGGAAGGAGGGGGGGGCAACUGGUAGUCGUCGGUGGCCGGGAUGGCAUUUGAGCUACCUUUUUUUUUUGCACAUGUGAGCUCUGCCGUACUAUUCUCUUUGUACCACUGCCAACCCUCACUCCCUCACCGCCUCAUUGGUUCUCCGUCGUUUGGCUUUUUAUUGCGGGCAGGAGGAGUCUGACGUGUGUUAGUGAAUCUCUUAUACACAGAGAUACACAUGCGUGUCGAUCUCUCUCUCUAUAUAUAUAUACAUGCACACAUCGAUCUAUAUAUGUGUAUCUGCUCACACGUGCCCAUGCAUCGUCCCUCCUCCUCCCUCUGCCUCUCUUUUUCGUUCUACUUUGUCUCUUACCCGGUUCUGUUCCGCUUAUUAUGAUAUGGCUGUUUUCCGUGCGAGCGGAGUCCUGCACGUGCGUAUGUAUAUAUGUGUGCGGGGGAGAGGUUGUGCGAAAGCAGGACGGAAAGUCACCCGUUUCGCAUAUUCCAUGCUUUGUUGUCUUUCUCCUUCUCUGCUGCUGUAUUCCUCGAAGGCGCACUCGCGAUGAUGUCUCCAGCGAAAGUGAGCAACACAGCAACGAAAAAAAAAGAUUAUAUUAUGAUACAGAGAAAUGUAUGUCGAUACACACGCGCAAUGAGGCAAGAUAGAAUGGGGAGGGAUAAGAGACAAGGGAAAAUGCACAAAAACAGAGUUCAGGAGCGAGUAGAGGACAUGUUGACACAUGGAUAAGGCGGACUGGUAAUCGCAGAGGUGCGCCUAUAUCGAAGCUGGCUAUUGCCGGCUGACUCGCCAUCUUCCACCGUUAUCGCCUCAUCUUCCCAUCACCGCCCUUUCACCUUUCGUAGCAACUACCUUGUGCGCUUAUCUCCUUCUCUAAAUUCAGUGUUACCCCCCCCCCCCAAACUGCAGCGUCCUCCUCAACACGCCCUCGUCAACCUCUGUGGUGGUAUGCCUGCCCUCCUCUUUUGUUUUCCCUCGUCUCCGCCCGCUACCCAUAUUUGUCUCUCCGCCCCUUUCACUACAGGUUGACUCUUUGUGCGUGUGCGUGCGUGUUACCGUCUUCUCUUCUCUCGCAUUUUCUUCUCGUGUGUGAUACCCACAGAAGAAAGGACGGAAGGAAAUUCAACAACAAAAAUGUGUGCACGACUCGCUUGCUUUCACCCCUUCACUUGUUCAUCGCCGUCCCCUCCUCCCCCCUCUCAUCCUUUCCUUCCUCUUCGUCGGUGCAGAUGGCUAUACCUCUAGGUUGCUGUUGGAUGUAGUUACCUGCGCGUCUUGGUGAUCAAAGGCUAUCCCUCCCUCUCCUCCUUCUUUCUCUCUAUUCCCGAAGGAAUGCGCAUGACUGUAACGAAGAAAGUGAUGAACGAAAAAAAAUGAAAACAACAAAAAAGGACCGUGAGUGGCACAGGGUGGUGGGUCAACGUGUUCAACUGCAAAACAGCUUCUUCCCAUCUCCCACCCACUCCCAUGGGCGCAUAUCCGGCGUGUGUGUGUGUGUGUGUGAGCGGGCGAGUGACUUUCGGUCAGCUUCUCGUAUCGCCCAUUGACAGCCGCGUGUGAGAGUGGUGUGGCUGCGCGUGGAGAAGAGAGGAGUGCGCGUAGCGGGAGUAAGCACAUAUGUCGUGUGCCCAUCGCUGUCGGUGCUUCGGCGACAGCAGGCCCCUCUCGUCUUGGGGAGGGGGCUAAAAGAGCACCCUCACACCCGCCUCCCCACCCAUCCUGUCCAUCGAAUGUGAGAUGCAUGUGCGUAUCUGUAGCGAUGUGUUGUGUGCGUGUUCGCAAGGCGCGCGCACACCUACGUCCGCGAAGCACCAAGUACACGUAGACAAACAGCACACACGUGCACUACCCCUUGUACUGUUGCACGAUGCGACACGCCCGCACGCUGCUUCUCUGUGUCCUCUUCGGUCUUCCUGCUUGCUGCUCGCGGCGCUCGACUGCUUUUUUUCUCUUCUGGUCUCUCUCACACACAUACAUGUGCAUACGCGCGCGCGCCAAACUCUACCUCCGCACGCACGUGCUCGACGCCUUCGUUGGAAAGGGCAACGCCUUCCCCCGCCCCCCCCCCCACCCACCCACCCACGCACACACACAG
This 3699-nucleotide unclassified non-coding RNA is filed under the name Leishmania donovani. RNAcentral describes it as "gene:LdHU3.30.3980(CDS-product:glyceraldehyde_3-p hosphate_dehydrogenase_glycosomal)". The record is from RNAcentral. Lineage: Eukaryota; Euglenozoa; Kinetoplastea; Trypanosomatida; Trypanosomatidae.